This 517-nucleotide ribosomal RNA is filed under the name Fistulinella campinaranae var. scrobiculata. Its description in RNAcentral is "eukaryotic LSU rRNA". It matches the Rfam family "Eukaryotic large subunit ribosomal RNA", at positions 220 to 720 of the family's 3401-position model. The record is from RNAcentral. Lineage: Eukaryota; Fungi; Basidiomycota; Agaricomycetes; Boletales; Boletaceae.
UCUUUGACACGGAGUACCAGGGCUAUGUGAUACGCUCUCGACGAGUCGAGUUGUUUGAGAAUGCAGCUCAAAACGGGUGGUAAAUUCCAUCUAAAGCUAAAUAUUGGCGAGAGACCGAUAGCGAACAAGUACCGUGAGGGAAAGAUGAAAAGAACUUUGAAAAGAGAGUUAAACAGUACGUGAAAUUGCUGAAAGGGAAACGCUUGAUGUCAGUCGCGUCGGCUGGGGAUCAACCUUGUGUGAAUAACGCUGGGUGUACUUCCUGGUGGACGGGUCAGCAUCAGUUUCUAUUCCGUUCGUAGAAUGAUCAAGGGAAAGUGGCACUCUUAGGAGUGUGUUUAUAGCCUUUGGUCGUAUGCGGGGAUGGAGACUGAGGAAAGAAAAUCUCAGCACGGUCUAAUAACGGGCUUGUGUUUAGGAUGCUGGCGAAAUGGCCUUAAGCGACCCGUCUUGAAACACGGACCAAGGAGUCUAACAUGCAUGCGAGUGUUUGGGUGAUGAAACUCAUGCGCGAAAU